Molecule: ribosomal RNA, 885 nt
Filed under: Helvella lacunosa
Lineage: Eukaryota; Fungi; Ascomycota; Pezizomycetes; Pezizales; Helvellaceae
Description: partial large subunit ribosomal RNA
Rfam family: Eukaryotic large subunit ribosomal RNA
Source: RNAcentral
CUUAAGCAUAUCAAUAAGCGGAGGAAAAGAAACCAACAGGGAUUGCCCCAGUAACGGCGAGUGAAGCGGCACCAGCUCAAAUUUGAAAUCUGGGGCCCUCGGCCUCCGAGUUGUAAUUUGGAGAGGCAUCCUUCUGGGGGGAGCGCCGGCCCAUGUUCCUUGGAACAGGACGUCACAGAGGGUGAGAAUCCCGUGUCAGGCAGGCUGCCUCCUCCCGUGUGAAGGGCCUUCGACGAGUCGAGUUGUUUGGGAAUGCAGCUCCAAGUGGGUGGUAAAUUUCAUCUAAAGCUAAAUACCGGCGGGAGACCGAUAGCGCACAAGUAGAGUGAUCGAAAGAUGAAAAGCACUUUGAAAAUAGAGUCAAAAAGUACGUGAAAUUGUUGAAAGGGAAGCGCUUGAGACCAGACUCAGGCCCGGGCAAACACCGCGCCCCUUGGGGCCGUGCAAUUGCCCGGGGCUGGGCCAGCAUCAGUUGGUGUGGCGGGACAAAGGCGCAGGCAAUGUGGCUCCCCUCGAGGAGUGUUAUUAGGCCCGCGCUCAAUGCCGCCGACGUCGACUGAGGACCGCGCCUCGGCUAGGAUGCUGGCUCAAUGGCCUUCAGCGACCCGUCUUGAAACACGGACCAAGGAGUCUAACAUCUAUGCGAGUGUUUGGGCGUCAAACCCUUGCGCGUAAUGAAAGUGAGCGGAGGUGGGAACCCCUCGCGGGGCGCACCAUCGACCGAUCCUGAUGUCUUCGGAUGGAUUUGAGUAGGAGCAUAGCUGUUGGGACCCGAAAGAUGGUGAACUAUGCCUGAAUAGGGUGAAGCCAGAGGAAACUCUGGUGGAGGCUCGCAGCGGUUCUGACGUGCAAAUCGAUCGUCAAAUUUGGGUAUAGGGGCGAAAG